RNAcentral lists this unclassified non-coding RNA (299 nucleotides) under uncultured fungus. RNAcentral describes it as "partial contains 5.8S ribosomal RNA, internal transcribed spacer 2, and large subunit ribosomal RNA". The stretch from base 1 to 52 matches the Rfam family "5.8S ribosomal RNA", at positions 103 to 154 of the family's 154-position model. Lineage: Eukaryota; Fungi. The record is from RNAcentral.
AACGCACAUUGCGCCCGCUGGUAUUCCGGCGGGCAUGCCUGUCCGAGCGUCAUUACGACCCUCGCGGAGCCCCUCCCCCCCGGGGGAGGCGCCUCCCGCGGCGUUGGGCGUCCCGGGAACCCCGGGUGCCUCAAAUGCAUAGGCGGUCCCGCCUGGCGGCUCCCUGCGUAGUAGCAUCUCCUCCUCGCAGCGGGCACCAGGCGGACGUCCGCCUCUCAACACCCCAACACCGGGCGCGGCGGCGACGCCGUACCCAGUACGUUGACCUCGGAUCAGGUAGGGAUACCCGCUGAACUUAA